Molecule: long non-coding RNA, 1029 nt
Filed under: Heterocephalus glaber (naked mole-rat)
Lineage: Eukaryota; Metazoa; Chordata; Mammalia; Rodentia; Bathyergidae
Description: lncRNA (ENSHGLG00000050410.1)
Source: RNAcentral
AUGGCUUUAACAAAGUCUGGGAACCUCAGGCAGGCUUUUAUGGGAUGGGAAGAAAAUGAAGAGACACGGAGGGAUGUGAACUCAGACUUGACAGGCAGGCAUAAAGACUGUUGCAGCCAGUUUUCAAACUCAGCCCCAAUUUCAAAACUGAAGACUGUUAUCCUGCUUCACACUGCCAAUGAGAGAAACAGAGCUAAAAUUAAAGAGAGAUUAAUCUAGCUGCAUUAAAGACACAAGCCAGAUUGGAGGCUGGGGUCAAGGGACUUGCCAUUGAAAUAAACAAGAGUGAGAUGAAUGUACAAGAUGAACCUGGAACAUCUUGUCACACCAGAAAGCAAGGAAACUAUCAAAGUGAACACAGGAGCCAAGCAGUUCCUACUGGCCAAGGACAAGGCAAUUCAGGCAUCAUUUAGGACAGUAACUGUCAGGGACUGACUGUAAGGGAUUAAGAGGCAUCGAAUAUGGUGAAGUCCAUGCCUUGAUAAUGAUGCUAAAAAAUUAUACUCCCAAUCGACCACUUUUGGAGGAUGUUAGAGAAACAACUCACUCUUUGGGAAACUGGUGUAACAAAAGAAUUGAAGAUUCGUUUUAUUUUUUUUCACAUGAAGUGUUACAUUUUGGAAGCAUUGCAGCUAAUAACAGAAAAAAAUUACGGGGUGAGAUCAUCACAGUUGGGCAGCCUCUAAUGAAUGAACAGAUCUGAGCGGUGAUCACUGAUGCCUCACAAAAAGAGCCUACCAGAUCCCCCCAGGCAGAAGCUGGGUGCCCCGGGCACCUCUGCAGACUUCCUUUCCUGAUUGCAGCCCUUCCCCACUGCCACAUGUGCCCCUGGGGCAGACCCCUGCAGGAUCUGGUGUCCCUGCAUGGAGGCUGACUACUGAUGAUGAAACUCGUUCCCCUAGAAGAUUUUGGAAAGCCAGGAUACCUCCGAAGCUGUGUGCUACUGCUCCUGAGACCAAGUAGACUCCCUGGGAGCGCCAGUGUCUUGGACACAUUCCAACCUGUGUAAUUACAUUCUGCCUGUUAAAC